AAUAUUGGUCAAUGGGUGCAAGCCUGAACCAGCCAUCCCGCGUGAAGGACGACUGCCCUAUGGGUUGUAAACUUCUUUUGUAUAGGGAUAAACCUACCCUCGUGAGGGUAGCUGAAGGUACUAUACGAAUAAGCACCGGCUAACUCCGUGCCAGCAGCCGCGGUAAUACGGAGGGUGCAAGCGUUAUCCGGAUUUAUUGGGUUUAAAGGGUCCGUAGGCGGACUUAUAAGUCAGUGGUGAAAGCCUGUCGCUUAACGAUAGAACUGCCAUUGAUACUGUAAGUCUUGAGUAUAUUUGAGGUAGCUGGAAUAAGUAGUGUAGCGGUGAAAUGCAUAGAUAUUACUUAGAACACCAAUUGCGAAGGCAGGUUACCAAGAUAUAACUGACGCUGAGGGACGAAAGCGUGGGGAGCGAACAGG
Molecule: ribosomal RNA, 419 nt
Filed under: uncultured bacterium
Lineage: Bacteria
Description: partial 16S ribosomal RNA
Rfam family: Bacterial small subunit ribosomal RNA
Source: RNAcentral